UGCAAGUCGAGGGGUAGGAGGCCUUCGGGCCUUGAGACCGGCGCACGGGUGCGUAACGCGUAUGCAAUCUGCCUUCCACAGAGGGAUAGCCCAGAGAAAUUUGGAUUAAUACCUCAUAGCAUCAUGACCCGGCAUCGGGAUAUGAUUAAAGUCACAACGGUGGAAGAUGAGCAUGCGUCCCAUUAGCUAGUUGGUAAGGUAACGGCUUACCAAGGCUACGAUGGGUAGGGGUCCUGAGAGGGAGAUCCCCCACACUGGUACUGAGACACGGACCAGACUCCUACGGGAGGCAGCAGUGAGGAAUAUUGGUCAAUGGGCGCAAGCCUGAACCAGCCAUGCCGCGUGCAGGAUGACGGUCCUAUGGAUUGUAAACUGCUUUUGUACGGGAAGAAACCCUCCUACGUGUAGGAGCUUGACGGUACCGUAAGAAUAAGGAUCGGCUAACUCCGUGCCAGCAGCCGCGGUAAUACGGAGGAUCCAAGCGUUAUCCGGAAUCAUUGGGUUUAAAGGGUCUGUAGGCGGUCUUGUAAGUCAGUGGUGAAAGCCCAUCGCUCAGCGGUGGAACGGCCAUUGAUACUGCUGGACUUGAAUUAUUGGGAAGCAACUAGAAUAUGUAGUGUAGCGGUGAAAUGCUUAGAGAUUACAUGGAAUACCAAUUGCGAAGGCAGGUUGCUACCAAUGGAUUGACGCUGAUGGACGAAAGCGUGGGUAGCGAACAGGAUUAGAUACCCUGGUAGUCCACGCCGUAAACGAUGGAUACUAGCUGUUGGGCGCAAGUUCAGUGGCUAAGCGAAAGUGAUAAGUAUCCCACCUGGGGAGUACGAACGCAAGUUUGAAACUCAAAGGAAUUGACGGGGGCCCGCACAAGCGGUGGA
This 875-nucleotide ribosomal RNA is filed under the name Flavobacterium sp. Its description in RNAcentral is "bacterial SSU rRNA". It matches the Rfam family "Bacterial small subunit ribosomal RNA", at positions 56 to 936 of the family's 1533-position model. Lineage: Bacteria; Pseudomonadati; Bacteroidota; Flavobacteriia; Flavobacteriales; Flavobacteriaceae. The record is from RNAcentral.